RNAcentral lists this non-coding RNA (67 nucleotides) under Lyngbya confervoides. RNAcentral describes it as "Glutamine-I sequence". It matches the Rfam family "Glutamine riboswitch aptamer (glnA leader)". RNAcentral also lists the same sequence under 1 other name. The record is from RNAcentral. Lineage: Bacteria; Bacillati; Cyanobacteriota; Cyanophyceae; Oscillatoriales; Microcoleaceae.
AUCGUUCAUCCGACCAGGAUUCUGGUUUGGACGGAAGUAAGGGAAAGUUUCUCUGAAGGAACGCGCC